RNAcentral lists this ribosomal RNA (440 nucleotides) under uncultured bacterium. Its description in RNAcentral is "partial 16S ribosomal RNA". It matches the Rfam family "Bacterial small subunit ribosomal RNA", at positions 338 to 795 of the family's 1533-position model. The record is from RNAcentral.
CCUACGGGAGGCAGCAGUGGGGAAUAUUGCACAAUGGGGGAAAGCCUGAUGCAGCGACGCCGCGUGAGCGAUGAAGUAUUUCGGUAUGUAAAGCUCUAUCAGCAGGGAAGAAAGUGACGGUACCUGACUAAGAAGCCCCGGCUAACUACGUGCCAGCAGCCGCGGUAAUACGUAGGGGGCAAGCGUUAUCCGGAUUUACUGGGUGUAAAGGGAGCGUAGAUGGCGAUGCAAGCCAGAUGGGAAAGCCCGGGGCUCAACCCCGGGACUGCAUUUGGAACUGUAUAGCUGGAGUGUCGGAGAGGCAGGCGGAAUUCCUAGUGUAGCGGUGAAAUGCGUAGAUAUUAGGAGGAACACCAGUGGCGAAGGCGGCCUGCUGGACGAUGACUGACGUUGAGGCUCGAAAGCGUGGGGAGCAAACAGGAUUAGAUACCCGAGUAGUC